AACUGCUGGAGGACUCAAAGCUGGAAUCACCAAGAGGGGAGCAGCCAGAGAUGUCAGCUGAGCUCUGAAAAUAGACGUGACUUAAUGAGCAAGAGACAGGUUGGGUUUCUCUAAAAAGGCAGAUUCAACCUGAGCUUGCUGUGCACCAAGUUCUAUGCUCGCACUUUUCAUGCAGGCCAUUAUCAAAUCUGCACAACCACCCCCUGAGAUGCAGUUGUGUGACCAGUUCUUGCCAGUGCAAUGUGAGCAGAAGUAACAGGUGCCAGCUCGAAGCCAAGCUACCACAGUCCUGAUCUGCAGAAGAACCCCAAGACCAAGCCAGCCACAUCCCUCUGGGUCUAGAUACAACAGGGAGGGGAGGGGCUGCUGGCUCCCUCUCAGAAAAGUGCCAGGACCCUCAAAAGUGGACUUUUGGGGAUCAGACAGGUAUAAACUCCAGCCCUGAUGCUGUUA
Molecule: long non-coding RNA, 453 nt
Organism: Neofelis nebulosa (Clouded leopard)
Lineage: Eukaryota; Metazoa; Chordata; Mammalia; Carnivora; Felidae
Exons: 4
Source: RefSeq, a predicted model, not a curated record